UACGGAAGGUCCGGGCGUUAUCCGGAUUUAUUGGGUUUAAAGGGAGCGUAGGCCGAUGAUUAAGCGUGCUGUGAAAUGUUGCGGCUCAACCGUAGAAUUGCAGCGCGAACUGGUUAUCUUGAGUGCGCGGAAGGCAGGCGGAAUUCGUGGUGUAGCGGUGAAAUGCUUAGAUAUCACGAAGAACUCCGAUUGCGAAGGCAGCUUGCCGUAGCGCUACUGACGCUAAAGCUCGAAGGUGCGGGUAUCGAACAGG
This 253-nucleotide ribosomal RNA is filed under the name uncultured bacterium. Its description in RNAcentral is "partial 16S ribosomal RNA". It matches the Rfam family "Bacterial small subunit ribosomal RNA", at positions 524 to 776 of the family's 1533-position model. The record is from RNAcentral.